UUUUUUUUUCUUUUUUUUUUUCCCGUUUCAUUUUACUUUUUCCCUUAUUGUAUUAAUGUUGUUGUUUUAUACUGUGAUAUAAGUUAUUGAAAAAUGAGAAGUGGAUGGUGUCUACUUUAGUUUCCAAUGCUUAAUCGUCAAUAAAUAUUUUGGUGUCUUGAAAAUUGUAACCGUGAUUAUUGAGAACAGAGAAUAGUUCACAUUAUUCUUUUGAGGAAAAAGCGUGUUUGGUGCAGAUAGUGAAAGACAACUUUUGUAUUUUUAAUGGUAGAAAGAGUAAAGAUGAUGCAGAAAAUUUUUGUUUCAGAAUGCAUCUACAAAAUCAAAUGUCCUAAAACUUAUAUUGGAACCUGUAAGCUUCAAAACUUAUUUUUACCAUUCUCUUUCUUGGAUCUGCUUAAAUAGAAAGCACAAGAAAGUGGGGCUUUUGAAAAUUUCUUUUUAAUCUUGAAAAAUUUAAAUAAAAUCCAUAUCCAAAGUCUUAUCUCAAACUCUAAACCAAAAUCAUGACUGGCGGCUAUAGGUCAUUUUCCUGAAAUUCUCAACUUGACAUUGUCUGACUAUCAAACUUAAGGUCAUUCUGCUUGCUAUGUGUUUCUUUCUCUCCAUUUGUUUGCCUGAGAAUGACAAAUUUUACUGUUUUGGUCAAAUUCUUUUAUCAAAUUUCUUGGAAAGGCAAUUUGAUAUAUAGAAAUUUGCAUUGGUAGGAUACAAUAUAGAGAAUAUGCUUGUGGUUAUUUCUUAUCAUUCAUCAACUGGAAUGUCUUGGCUUUACUUGUCUUGGUUUUUACCCCCGUCUGUGAUUGCCGUGUAAAAGAAAUUCUUUUCAGAUGAUUGACUCUUGUUCUUUGGCUGAAAUGUGCGCUACUAUAAGGGGGUUGUUUACUGGCAACCAC
This 896-nucleotide unclassified non-coding RNA is filed under the name Hevea brasiliensis (rubber tree). The record is from RNAcentral. Lineage: Eukaryota; Viridiplantae; Streptophyta; Magnoliopsida; Malpighiales; Euphorbiaceae.